AUGGGGCUGCUGUCGAACCGGGUGGAGCGGUCGGAGGUCAGGCCCGGCGACCACAUCUACACCUGGAGGGCCGUCUACGCCUACUCCCACCACGGUAUUUAUGUUGGAGGAAGCAAAGUGGUCCAUUUUACACGAAAGAAGGAAGUUGAAUCUUCGGAUUCAUCCAACUUCAUCUCUGGCCUGAUCUCACAGGCUUCAUCAGAGUGCCCAACAUUCCCAGACUGUGGUUUUCAGCUGGCCGAUAGUGGGGUCGUACUCACCUGCUUGGAUUGCUUUCUUGGCAAUGGCUCCCUCUACUGCUUCGAGUACGGAGUGCCACCUGCAAUUUUCCUUGCAAAAUUUCGUGGGGGAACCUGCACCAUUGCCCAAUCAGACCCAUCGGAGGUUGUGGUCCGGAGAGCUAUGCACUUGCUUCAGAAUGGGUUUGGCAACUACGACAUGUUCGAGAAGAAUUGCGAGGACUUUGCACUCUACUGCAAGACUGGACUUGUACCCGUGGAUGAACCUGGCAUCGGGGUGAGCGGGCAAGCAUCCUCCGCCAUUGGCGUGCCUCUGGCAGCUCUUCUGUCCACUCCAUUCAAGAUUUUUGCUGCCGGUCCGCUUGGAAUGGCCACUGUCACAGCCGGGAUGUACUGUGCCGGUAGAUACAUCACCGACAUAGGAGUGAGAAAGGAUGUCGCCAAAGUCGAAGUGGAGAACUUGUCGUCGCACCUUGGCUUCCGCCGCGUAGAAGACACAGAAUCGGUGAACAGAAGCUCAGACAAGGUGAAGAAGCUGCUCCCGUUGAAGAGAAAGCGCGAGAGGUGA
RNAcentral lists this ribosomal RNA (807 nucleotides) under Triticum aestivum (bread wheat). RNAcentral describes it as "partial small subunit ribosomal RNA". The record is from RNAcentral. Lineage: Eukaryota; Viridiplantae; Streptophyta; Magnoliopsida; Poales; Poaceae.